Molecule: long non-coding RNA, 4946 nt
Organism: Mus musculus (house mouse)
Lineage: Eukaryota; Metazoa; Chordata; Mammalia; Rodentia; Muridae
Product: predicted gene, 32510
Exons: 3
Source: RefSeq, a predicted model, not a curated record
AAGUCGCGGUCCUUUGGUUGGGCCUCGCUUUGACAGCGUCCCCGCCCCCGCGCGUCGCGCAGCCAAGCGGGCGGGUGCCGCGCCUAAUUGCCCCACGCCACGCGAGGUCCGCGAGGCUGCGGCGGCCGGCCAGGGCGGGGCAUAGCUUUAGGAUCUUGCUGACUCAACGCGGACAGCCAGGGUUUCCCAGGUGUCCCCUCCCCGUACGGGAUGCGCGCCCACCAGGUGCUGUGGCUCCCUAGGCCCCCCUGCAGUGAUGAAACUGCCUUUAGAGAGCUUUGCCUCUGGUUCUGACGUAAUGGCCCGGCAUCUUCAUCACCAACCAAGUAAAAGCGGUUGAGUUAAAAAGCUGGGUGAUUAUGUUUUGCAAACUCAAACUGACUCAUAGUCACCUUCCAACCCCACAGACAUUCAACAGCCAUUUCAACUGCUUCUGCCCGAGUCCUGCCCCAUUGGUUUCCAGCCUAGAAGCCAAAGAUUGAAAUAUCCAGGCGUCAGAAGAUGCAGCUCCCACCUGAGGCCAGGCCCACACUGAUAGAAUUUCCUUCGUUCACAGGUUUCUGUGGUGUCGUCACCUCCUACCAAUGCUGCCCAGCCAUGUUUCCAUGGCUACGGGAAAAUAGCAUCCUCCAGUUUAAGGCCGACAUCCUCAAAAAGUUCCCAUCUCCUGCCCUACCCCAAGUGUCAGAAAUGAGAUAAUUUAGACCGUCUUCCUGCCUACCAUCCUAACAGGAAAAAUCAGGGCCAUCUGCCUACAGCCCCCACUCUCUCUACAGAGAGGACUUCUUGCUGACAGCUGAUAUAGGAGCUGUCUCCUAGCCCUGUCCUCUCCAGAGGCUGCAGCUUGGCCUUCCUCCUGGAUGGUCUCCCAUUAGACCUUCGUCCUCUUGUCUCUCUUCAUAAAACCUAGCAGAAGAAAAGAACUGGUUCUGAAGUAAAGUUAGGUUGAUGAACGUCUCCCGGCAUACACAUCUCAUCUCUGUGGUACUCUGUUGAGAGGAACCUUGGAACCGCUCCUCCACCCCUUGCUCAGCCCUGCGCUCCCCCAGAAGGAGACUUGCUGCUUACCCACUGCUCCAAAGCACCAGCUUCCACCAGCCUGUGCCCUGGGCCUGUCAAGCCUUUUCUGUGUGCCUGGUCUGUAGCUUGACUCCAGGGCACCAAGGUGAUGUCCCGUUCUGCUUGUACUCAACUCCUACAGCUUCUAUUUCUCUCUACCUUUCUUUUCCCCUCCCAGGUUCGUGGGCCCCAGUGCUCUCUCUUCUGUCUGCCCUUGAAUUCUCCUCUGCUAUAUCUAGCUUUGUCCUGCCUGGAAUGAAUUGAUGUACAUUUGAGCCUCAGCUCUAAAGUCACCUCCCUGGAAAGUAUCUUGGGAGAGGUCAGGUUCUUCUCUGUGCUGUGAUGCCACUCUCUUGGCUCUCACCCAAUACUCUGCACUUGAUCUUAGCCAAAAGGCCGAGAAGCGAUCACCCAAUACUCUGGAAGUUCAACACAGCUUUGCUUCCCAAAUCGGGCAAGAAACACCCUAACUCUGGAAGUCUCGCUUCCUCUUGGGCCUAGAGCUCCCAGGGACUAAGCCACCAACCAAAGAGGAUCUUUGCUCCUGCUCCUUCGCCUGCUUGCUACGUGAGACUGAGUAACUGCUAGAUCCUUGGACUUCCAUUCACAGCUGCGACUGAACAAUUGUUGGGAAUUGAGCUGCCGACUGUGUUCAGACAAACUCACGGACAGGAAGAUGUCAAAGGAGCUUCCGGUGUGGCUGGCAGAGAACAGGUGGCUGGCUGUACAUAAAGCUGGCCAGCCACCUGUGAGCAGUGCCAGAGGCCCUGUCAGAACAAGCCCAAAUUCUGCAGAAGUGUGAGCACAAGACAAGGUUAAGCCAGGCCUGCUGUGAGUCAAUGAUCAAAAAGAAAAACGAGUCUCCCAUCCUCUCCCCCAGGUCCUUCUUGCCUACCUGCAGCCCCAAACUUCUUCUAAACUGACAAGUUCCCAUUACCAGGAUGAAAGCUCCAAGAUGCUCAGAGCUCCUGUCCACAUCUGGAUUCAUGUUCUAGGAGUAUGAAGGAGACAGUGGAAUGGAACACCCAGCAGGGAGGCCUUGUUGACAGCUCUCUCACUCUCUCUCUCUUUCCUCCCUCUCUCUCUCUCUCCCUCUCUCUCUCUCUCUCUCAUGGAGCUGUGCUUAUAUUUGGAAGGCAUGUGCUGGCUCUGGUGAGGGACACUCACUGGCUGGAGACAGAGGAAGGGGCAGGAUAGCAGUUCCUUAUAUAACCAGAUAAAGUGGCUAUCACUAGAGAUAGGGAGGUGACUUUGUAGGCUGCGGCUUCCUGGUAAAGCCACCACCAUCUCUGCUCUUUGCAAGGAUAUGGGUAAAGCCUCUUUGAUUGUCAAGAUGUCUAAGGUGGUUUUUUUCUUUUUCUUUCUUUUCUUUUUUUUUUUUUUUUUUUUUUUUUUUUGUCUUUCGAGACAGGUUUUCUCUUCAUAGCCCUGGCUGUCCUGGAACUCACUUUGUAGACCAGGCUGGCCUCAAACUCAGAAAUCCACCUGCCUCUGCCUCCCAAGUGCUGGGAUUAAAGGUGUGCGCCACCAUGCCCGGCUAAAAUGUCUAAGUUUUAAUGACGCAGUGUCUCGGCCCAUUGAUGACUCUAAUGGAUCCAACUGCUCUUCACCUGGGCUAGGUAACCCUCAGGACCCGAUAGACAACCCAUCUCCUUAGCCUUCCUGCUCUCUGGCAUUCUAUAACAGAGCCCCUGGUACAGCUGUCCUGAGCUCUGGAGCCCUCUGCAGCUACAAGGGAGAGGUGGUGAGCCUCAGAUCAGCUAGGGUGGAACUUACACAUCUUGGCUUACUCUGUAGUAAUAGAUAACAGUGGAGCAGUCCACCUUUCUCCACCCCACCCUUCCCCAAGCUAUGAGCCACACCCCCUUGUGUACAAGCUAUGACUCAAGACUCCUGACUGGCCAUCAGCUGAACCCCUAGCUAGGAAUCUGUUUUGGUUUUUUUUUUUGGGGGGGGGGUGUUUUUGUUUUUUCGAGACAGGGUUUCUCUGUGUAGCCCUGGCUGUCCUGGAACUCACUUUGUAGACCAUGCUGGCCUCAAACUCAGAAAUCUGCCUGCCUCUGCCUCCCUAGUGCUGGAAUUAAAGGCGUGCGCCACCAAGGCCUGGCCUAGGAAUCUGUUUUACCCAAGGCUACAGACUCCAUCCUGCUGGGUGAGAUGAAGAAGGCGAUUAAACCAGCACUCCCCAGCCACUCUGCAGGCCUGCUACUUUCAGGAUUAUUCCCAGUAGGUGGAAUGCUCUCUGGCACCUGCUGUGGGAACUCCAGGAACAAGAGAAAUGAAGAGGCCAGUCCAGAAAGCAAGUGAGGGUGAGAACUGGGAGGAGACAGAAGUGGUAGGGGGCAGGCAGACAGCCCCUUUUGUCUUUCUACUGCAGACAGUGACAGAAAAGGCUCAGCAGCCUUUGGACCAGAUGUGUUGACAGCCCCUUGGCCCAUAGCCUAGCCUAGAGACCCCUAGGGUAGGGAUGUCACCAGAGUUCCCCCUCCUAGUGGGUGUAUGGCAAAGCUCUGCCUCCAGAUCUGUUACAACUUCAACCCUGCCCCAUACUUCAUUGUCUGGUCUUCCAUCUUAAAGCAGGACCCGAGGAAGGAGUGCAGUAAGCAGGCUUUCACCCAAGUAGAAGGACAUCCUUCUCAGUCUUUCAGUCCAAUUUCCCCUGGUCAGAUGGAGAAACUGAGACCAGACUGUAGAGAGAGCUUACAUAGGUGCACGAUUCAAGUUGUGAGGAGGUCCAAGCCACAAUGUACCCCUUGAAUGGGAAAAAGCCCCCAGGAUCCUGCACUGUGUAUUCAUAGCAAAUGCUGAGGCCUGGCCUGCAGAGCCAGGAACUGAGCUGUGAUGAUGACAGGGCCCAGAUGCCUCGGGGGCCCAGACAGAGUCUCCAUGGGAAUAGCUAAUAUCUCUGCCCUGGCUCUGGAUGGCCUCUGUGAAGGAACAUCAUCUGAUGCUUGUUCAGGUGGGUUAAGACCCCUGCUAGGAGAAAUCUGGGUACAGAAGACAGCACAUAUAUACCUGGGGGCAGAGAAAGAAGAGCCAGGUCCUAUUCCUGGGGACUUCUGAGAUUGGGCAAGGGCUACUAAGAACAGGUGGGAAAGAGAAAAACCAGGAGAGACCAGCUGGAAUAGGCCUUCACACAGUGUAACCUGAGGAGGUUCAUCUAUACAGCAGUUCCUAUAGCUGGCCCACCUCUGCUGGUUGGUAGUCCAAAGUUAGUAGUUGGUCCAUGGAAAUAUGUCUCUGCAGCUGGAAUGGUGGCACCACACUACCUGAAAAGGUUGGUGUGAUUUGAAUAAGAAUGGCCCCCAAAGUCUCAAAUAUUAGAAUGCUUAGUCACCAGGUAAUGGCAUGGUUUGAAAGGAUUAGAAGGAUUAGGAGGGGCUGGAGAGAUGGCUCAGCGGUUAAAAGCACUGGCUGCUCUUCCUGAGGUCCUGAGUUUAAUUCCCAGCAACCACGUGGUGGCUCACAACCAUCUGUAAUAGGAUCCAAUGUCAUCCUCUGGAGUGUCUGAAGACAGCUGCAGUGUACUUAUAUACAUUAAAUAAAUAAAUAAAUAAAUAAAUAAAUAAAUAAAUCUUCCUCAUGCCAAGCCUAAGCACUCAUGCUGUUCUCUCUCUCUCUCUCUCUCUCUCUCUCUCUCUCUCUCUCUCUCUCUCUUUCCUCUCUCCUCUCUCUCUCCUUUCUCCUCUCUCCUCUCUCCUCUCUCCUCUCUCUCUGCCUCCCCUCUCCCCCCUCCCCCCAUCUCUGGAUCAGGAUGUAGCUCUCAGAUACUUUUCCAGCACCAUGUCUAUCUGGUCUGCUACCAUGCUCUCUGCUACCAUGAUGAUAAUAGACUAUGCAUCUGAAACUGUAAGCAAGCUCCCAAUUAAAUGCUAUCUUUCAUCAGA